UACAGAGGUCUCAAGCGUUGUUCGGAUUCAUUGGGCGUAAAGGGUGUGUAGGUGGCGCCGUAAGUCGGGUGUGAAAUUUCGGAGCUUAACUCCGAAACUGCAUUCGAUACUGCGGUGCUUGAGGACUGGAGAGGAGACUGGAAUUCAUGGUGUAGCAGUGAAAUGCGUAGAGAUCAUAGGAAGACCAGUGGCGAAGGCGGGGUCUCUGGACAGUUCCUGACACUGAGACACGAAGGCCAGGGGAGCAAACGGG
Molecule: ribosomal RNA, 253 nt
Filed under: uncultured bacterium
Lineage: Bacteria
Description: partial 16S ribosomal RNA
Rfam family: Bacterial small subunit ribosomal RNA
Source: RNAcentral